AGUGAACGCUGGCGGUAGGCCUAACACAUGCAAGUCGAACGGCAGCACAGUAAGAGCUUGCUCUUACGGGUGGCGAGUGGCGGACGGGUGAGGAAUACAUCGGAAUCUACUUUUUCGGGGGGGAUAACGUAGGGAAACUUACGCUAAUACCGCAUACGACCUACGGGUGAAAGCAGGGGAUCUUCGGACCUUGCGCGAUUGAAUGAGCCGAUGUCGGAUUAGCUAGUUGGCGGGGUAAAGGCCCACCAAGGCGACGAUCCGUAGCUGGUCUGAGAGGAUGAUCAGCCACACUGGAACUGAGACACGGUCCAGACUCCUACGGGAGGCAGCAGUGGGGAAUAUUGGACAAUGGGCGCAAGCCUGAUCCAGCCAUGCCGCGUGGGUGAAGAAGGCCUUCGGGUUGUAAAGCCCUUUUGUUGGGGAAGAAAAGCAGCAGGUUAAUACCCCGCUGUUCUGACGGUACCCAAAGAAUAAGCACCGGCUAACUUCGUG
Molecule: ribosomal RNA, 492 nt
Filed under: uncultured bacterium
Lineage: Bacteria
Description: partial 16S ribosomal RNA
Rfam family: Bacterial small subunit ribosomal RNA
Source: RNAcentral